GGCAGCAGUGGGGAAUAUUGGACAAUGGGCGCAAGCCUGAUCCAGCCAUACCGCGUGGGUGAAGAAGGCCUUCGGGUUGUAAAGCCCUUUUGUUGGGAAAGAAAUCCAGCUGGCUAAUACCCGGUUGGGAUGACGGUACCCAAAGAAUAAGCACCGGCUAACUUCGUGCCAGCAGCCGCGGUAAUACGAAGGGUGCAAGCGUUACUCGGAAUUACUGGGCGUAAAGCGUGCGUAGGUGGUCGUUUAAGUCCGUUGUGAAAGCCCUGGGCUCAACCUGGGAACUGCAGUGGAUACUGGACGACUAGAGUGUGGUAGAGGGUAGCGGAAUUCCUGGUGUAGCAGUGAAAUGCGUAGAGAUCAGGAGGAACAUCCAUGGCGAAGGCAGCUACCUGGACCAACACUGACACUGAGGCACGAAAGCGUGGGGAGCAAACAGGAUUAGAUACCCUGGUAGUCCACGCCCUAAACGAUGCGAACUGGAUGUUGGGUGCAAUUUGGCACGCAGUAUCGAAGCUAACGCGUUAAGUUCGCCGCCUGGGGAGUACGGUCGCAAGACUGAAACUCAAAGGAAUUGACGGG
This 579-nucleotide ribosomal RNA is filed under the name uncultured bacterium. RNAcentral's name for it is "bacterial SSU rRNA". It matches the Rfam family "Bacterial small subunit ribosomal RNA", at positions 347 to 917 of the family's 1533-position model. The record is from RNAcentral.